UCACCAGAGAGCAGCAGCUAAUGCUGAUGUUCACUCAGCUAUUUAAUGUACCCUUUCUGGGGAAAUAAGGCAGGGGACAGAAGUGGAGAGGGAUGAAAAGUGCCAUGUGUCAGCUAAGGAUGCCAUAGACCUGUAAGCUUUUACCCUCUCUCAGCUUUACAGGAUGGUGAUGUUGAGAACCAAAUACUAAGUUUUGUUAUUCCCUUUUCUUCAUCAGGCUGAAAAGCAGGCAAGAAAAGAGCAGGAAAAGCAAGCAGAAUUGGACUACAGUGCUCGGAGAGAGGCUGCUUUUCAUCAGGAUCGAGCGUUUUGGAGAUGAAGACAAAAUAUAUUUUACCACUAGAAAAGCAUCUACAAAGGAGUGAGAAGGAGCCACUCUCUUUCCAAGUUCCGUGUGCCUGCAACACCAAUCAGUGCCCAACAGCAGAAGCUAACUGUGGACCAAGUUACAAGACACAUGCUAUUGCUAGAACCUGCCUAUAACUCAAGCUCAAGAAACAAGUGCCAUAGCUUGCAACUGUACUGUAACUACUUUUAUUAUGGAACAAAGCAGUACAUUCUUUUCAGAAAGUCAAGAGGUAACAACCAAAGGUAAACUAUCAAUUCAUCUGUACUGUACUCCUUGAAUAUUGCUGGGCCUCCGGGCUUAACUCAAACCUUCUGUUUUGACUUGGGGAAAAAAAAAAUCUUACUGAGCAAAUAAAAUUGGGUACAUCUGUCUCA
This 723-nucleotide long non-coding RNA is filed under the name Lonchura striata (white-rumped munia). RNAcentral describes it as "domestica (Bengalese finch) lncRNA (ENSLSDG00000013668.1)". Lineage: Eukaryota; Metazoa; Chordata; Aves; Passeriformes; Estrildidae. The record is from RNAcentral.